AAAGAUUAAGCCAUGCAUGUCUAAGUACAUGCCGAAAGGCGAAACCGCGAAUGGCUCAUUAAAUCAGUUAUGGUUCCUUAGAUCGUUUCAUCCUACUUGGAUAACUGUGGCAAUUCUAGAGCUAAUACAUGGCUUUUAUUAGAUGUGGUGACUCUGGAUAACGCCGGCGACGUUUCUUUCAAGUGUCUGCCUUAUCAACUUUCGAUGGUAGGUUACUUGCCUACCAUGGUUGUUACGGGUGACGGAGAAUCAGGGUUCGAUUCCGGAGAGGGAGCCUGAGAAACGGCUACCACAUCCAAGGAAGGCAGCAGGCGCGCAAAUUACCCACUCCCGGCACGGGGAGGUAGUGACGAAAAAUAACAAUACGGGACUCUUUUGAGGCCCCGUAAUAGUACACUCUAAAUCCUUUAACGAGGAUCAAUUGGAGGGCAAGUCUGGUGCCAGCAGCCGCGGUAAUUCCAGCUCCAAUAGCGUAUACUAAAGCUGCUGCGGUUGAAAAGCUCGUAGUUGGAUCUCUACUGAACAUCAUGCCGGUCGCGUCUUGGUGCCCUUCAUUGGGUGCCUCGAAGUGGCCGGUGAUUUUACUUUGAAAAAAUUAGAGUGCUCAAAGCAGGCGAGUCGCCUGAAUACACUUGCAUGGAAUAAUAGAGCAAGUUCUGUUGGUUUUGUAAUGAUCAAGAGGGACGGACGGGGGCAUUCGUAUUGCGGCGCUAGAGGUGAAAUUCUUGGACCGUCGCAAGACGAACUACUGCGAAAGCAUUUGCCAAGAAUGUUUUCUUUGAUCAAGAACGAAAGUUAGAGGUUCGAAGGCGAUCAGAUACCGCCCUAGUUCUAACCAUAAACGAUGCCAACCAGCAAUCCGCCUGAGUUACUCAAAUGACUCGGCGGGCAGCUUCCGGGAAACCAAAGUAUUUGGGUUCCGGGGGAAGUAUGGUUGCAAAGCUGAAACUUAAAGGAAUUGACGGAAGGGCACCACCAGGAGUGGAGCCUGCGGCUUAAUUUGACUCAACACGGGAAAACUUACCCGGCCCGGACACUGGGAGGAUUGACAGAUUGAGAGCUCUUUCUUGAUUCGGUGGAUGGUGGUGCAUGGCCGUUCUUAGUUGGUGGAGCGAUUUGUCUGGUUAAUUCCGAUAACGAACGAGACUCUAGCCUAUUAAACCUUCUUAGAGGGACAAGCGGCUCCUAGCCGCACGAAACAGAGCAAUAACAGGUCUGUGAUGCCCUUAGAUGUCCGGGGCCGCACGCGCGCUACACUGACUGGGUAACCCGUGGAACUUCCUUCGUGAUUGGGAUAGGGGCUUGCAAUUGUUCCCCUUGAACGAGGAAUUCCCAGUAAGCGCGAGUCAUCAGCUCGCGUUGAUUACGUCCCUGCCCUUUGUACACACCGCCCGUCGCUACUACCGAUUGAAUGAUUUAGUGAGGUUGACCAAACUUGAUCAUUUAGAGGAAGUAAAAGUCGUAACAAGGUU
This 1472-nucleotide ribosomal RNA is filed under the name Bothriocroton auruginans (wombat tick). RNAcentral's name for it is "SSU rRNA". It matches the Rfam family "Eukaryotic small subunit ribosomal RNA". The record is from RNAcentral. Lineage: Eukaryota; Metazoa; Arthropoda; Arachnida; Ixodida; Ixodidae.